AUUGAACGCUGGCGGCAGGCCUAACACAUGCAAGUCGAACGGCAGCGGGGGAUAGCUUGCUAUCCUGCCGGCGAGUGGCGGACGGGUGAGUAAUGCAUGGGGAGCUGCCCAGUCGAGGGGGAUAACAACUGGAAACGGUUGCCAAUACCGCAUACGCCCUUUGGGGGAAAGGUGGGGAACUUCGGUCCUACCGCGAUUGGAUGCGCCCAUGUGGGAUUAGCUAGUUGGUGAGGUAACGGCUCACCAAGGCGACGAGCUCUAGCUGGUCUGGGAGGAUGACCGGCCACCAGGGAACUGAGACACGGCCCAGACUCCUACGGGAGGCAGCAGUGGGGAAUAUUGCACAAUGGGGGAAACCCUGAUGCAGCCAUGCCGCGUGUGUGAAGAAGGCCUUCGGGUUGUAAAGCACUUUCAGUCAGGAGGAAGGGGUGAUGGCUAAUAUCCAUCAUCAUUGACGUUACUGACAGAAGAAGCACCGGCUAACUCCGUGCCAGCCGCCGCCGUAA
RNAcentral lists this ribosomal RNA (506 nucleotides) under uncultured bacterium. RNAcentral describes it as "partial 16S ribosomal RNA". It matches the Rfam family "Bacterial small subunit ribosomal RNA", at positions 29 to 523 of the family's 1533-position model. The record is from RNAcentral.